UUUGAAUCCAUUAGAACAAUGGCGUAUCAGACGUAGCUCCCAAACCGGUCGACAUCCAUCUGCAUAACUCAUUCCACAAGAAUGAGCGGUAUAGUUUGAAAACUUACCAAAGUUAUCUAGUGGAUGUCGAUACGUUGGUGAGCAGCCGUCGCACAUAGGUCUGAUGUACCUAUGAAAAGUUAUUAUUGGAUCGGUCAUAAUAUUACGUUGAGAAGUUAUCUGUCCAUAAACUUAUUUUCAGAUUUGUAGGCCAAUUCCGUUGCCAUUUUUUAAUCAUUCUUUGUUUUUAUUAAGGUUGAGGUGUAACAGCAUUUUAGGGGCUAUUGUAAUUCCCACUUCCAGGACUUUAUCAUACAUACAGUCAACAGCCAGAUGACCUACAUUUUUGUGUAUUCUGGUCCACCCUAUGAUGGCCGCGAAGUAACGAUCAUGUCACCGUUUAUCAGAUUGCCCAGUUUGAAAGAGUCUCCAACAAUUUCAUCGGAUAGGUCGCCAUAAACCGUGGCAUAGCGCUGGGCCAGCAUCAUUUUGUCCGGAUCAAUAUCUAUAAAAAUGACGUCCCAAUUAUUAGAAGCUAAUAAUAUAGUGUCUUUGAUGAACAGUCAGCUGUACGAAGUUUCCGCUGUGCCACAAAACAGGUCGACGCCGGUCGCUGAACAUGGGAAGUCCUCAAGUCCACCCAGCAUCGUAUUGAUGAAUCAACAAUACAUCUUACAUCUUACAUCUAUCAUUGCAAUCUUAUAAUUAUUCACCUGAAUGCAUGUAAUCCUGAAUGUACAGUUAAUUUAUUACUACCCAUCUACAAAGU
Molecule: long non-coding RNA, 808 nt
Organism: Metopolophium dirhodum (rose-grain aphid)
Lineage: Eukaryota; Metazoa; Arthropoda; Insecta; Hemiptera; Aphididae
Exons: 3
Source: RefSeq, a predicted model, not a curated record